ACGGCUCAGUAACACGUGGACAACCUGCCCUUAGGUCGGGGAUAAACCCGGGAAACUGGGUAUAAUUCCCGAUAGGUCUCGAUUGCUGGAAUGCAUCGAGAUUUAAAGCUCCGGCGCCUAAGGAUGGGUCUGCGGCCUAUCAGGUAGUAGUGGGUGUAGCGUACCUACUAGCCUACGACGGGUACGGGUUGUGAGAGCAAGAGCCCGGAGAUGGAUUCUGAGACACGAAUCCAGGCCCUACGGGGUGCAGCAGGCGCGAAAACUUUACAAUGCUGGCAACAGCGAUAAGGGAACCUCGAGUGCCAGGUUACAAAUCUGGCUGUCGAGAUGCCUAAAAAGCAUUUCAUAGCAAGGGCCGGGCAAGACCGGUGCCAGCAGCCGCGGUAA
This 387-nucleotide ribosomal RNA is filed under the name uncultured archaeon. Its description in RNAcentral is "bacterial SSU rRNA". It matches the Rfam family "Archaeal small subunit ribosomal RNA", at positions 85 to 473 of the family's 1478-position model. The record is from RNAcentral.